UGUAAAACAUAUAUUUCCCCUGCAUUGCCAAUAAGCAAUUUUGGUCACAGGAUUUUAGUCUCUGGACCUCUGACACAUCGUUAGACUGAGAUCCAAUGGACAUGAAUACACAUAUUCACUGUGGGUUAGCAGUGCACAAAUGUGACAGCUAUUGUGAGAAGAGGAGGGUAGGACCUCCCUCCAAUGCUCAGAAAAUGUAUAUUUCUUUAAUACAGAAGUACGUAUAUCUGAAUACAUUUUCUAUCAUCAUUUUUUCCUAUAAUUUCUUGAAUAAUCUAUAUGGGACCUAUUAAAAUAAAAUUAAAAAAAAAAAAAGUUAUUUGUUUUAAAGGCACUGGGGAUCUUUCUUACAUGGGGACUGCAUGUAGCAUUAAUUUCUUUUGGGUAGAAAUACUAACAGUGUUAUUGGCCUUUGGCUUUCUCUUACAGGUAUAGCACCACUAAUAACCUAAGUCUGUCCCCUUCAGAAAUUUCAGCAGAAAUAUAAAAUGUGGAGAAGGGCACAAAAAGCUUCUUUCAGAGAAUGGAGAUGGUGAGAAAUAAGCUUGUCAGUCACUCUUGUGGUUUCCCCCUUAACUGACAUACAUCUGCAUUAAUACAUGUUUUUCCUAAGUGCUCGUAAUCUAUCUGGGGGGAGUUAAAGGCUGAAAGAAAAUGCUUAAAAGGUAGACUGCUGUCAAUGACUGGAAACAGACUAGUUUAUUGCCAUAUGAACACCAAUCUAUCACUCAGGGCAUAGUAUCAGGGGAUUACAAGUGCUACUGAUAUUUGUCAAAAUGUGUUUCCUCUUUUUACCUGCAGCUUUACUCUGUCUCUGUCCAAAAUAAUGAUCGUGUUGAUCCAAGCCUUUUGCUGUGAUGAAAUAGUGCUUGGCAGAAGGUUUACAUGGAGUCUUCAGCUCUGAGGAUGGUUGAGCAGGAUGGGCUAGAUGUAAGAAAGUCAGCACCAUCUGAGAAGAUGCCUUACAGCAUGUUGGAAGACAAAAUACAUGAGACAAAACUCCUUGCAGGCUGCAAAUUAUCACUGCUCAUCACUGGUCAUCUGGACAUUAAGCCUCUCUGCAACUCUUUAGAUGUGUGUGGCCAACCAGCCAAUUCCUUGUCCAUCAAAUAGUCCUUCCUUCAAAAUAUUUUCUGUUCAAUUUAGAGACAAUAUCUUCAUUUUCAUGUUAUAAAAAUAUCAUAUAGUGGAUGCAGUCCUAAUUUAAUCUCGAACCAGUUUAAUAGGGAAAAAAUACAUUUGCGUACUCAGCUACAGAAGAACAACCUGAAGGCCAUCAGAACACUAAGACCAAGCUCUGUGUAAUACAGGUACAGCAGGCUGUAAGUUGGUCUUACAUCAGAAACCAUUCUUGAUCCUGUUUUAUUCAGCAGCAUGGCCAUAAUUUUGGGUGGGUGAGAGUUAAUUUUAUUUAUAGAGGCUCACAUGAUGUCGUGUUUUUGAUUUUUGAUGAAAGGACUGUUGAUAGCACACCUGUGUUUUAGGUGUUGCUGAGAAAUUUUCACACAGAGCCAAGCACUUUCCUGUUUAUCACUUUCUCCCGUUUCUCACUUUCUCCUGUUGCCCUGCCAGCAAGGAGUCUGGAGGUGCAAUAAGAGCUAUGAGGGAACACAGCCAGGCCAGCUGGCCCAAGGGGGACCAAAAUGAUAUCCCAUUCCAUACUCUGCUAUAAAAGCUGGGGUAAAAAAGGAGGAAGGAAGUAGGAGGGGAUGUUGAGAGUGAUGGCAUUCGUCUUCCCGAGAAACGUGAUGAGCCCUGCAUUCCUGGAAUUGACUGAGCGUCUGCCUGCUGAUGGGAAACAGUGAAUGAAUACUUUGUUUUGCUUUGCUUGUUUACACAGCUUUUGCUUUACCUAGUAAACUGCCUUUAUCUCAGCCCAUGAGUUCUCACACUUUUACCUUUCUGAUUAUGUCCCCCAUCCCACUGGUAGGGAGAGAACAGGUGGGUAUUGCUAAGCUGUGUAACAGGGUUUAACCAUGACAAGCAUAUAGCCUACAAAGCCUACGUAAUUAAUUUGAAAAUCAGUCAGAAAUCAGAAACAACAAAUGCAGACAUGGUAAGAUGACUGAUCUAAGAAAAUGUAUAUAGCUAACUGUCAUACUUGCUAAAUAACUGAUGUUUUCCCUGGUUGUUUACUCAAAAAGUUUGAUCUGUCUCAAUCGUAUUAUUAGUAGCUACAUGCAAAAUACAAAACCUUGAGGGGAGAGAAGAAGAACCCAUUGUGCUACAAGUGCUGCAAAAAGACAUGGCAUUUUCCUACUCUUUCAUAAUCCUUGAAAACUGAGGGUGGUAAUUGACUUCUGCUGAAUACAAGAUGUCAUUUUCAAGGAGACAAGAAAGUUUACAUGGUUAUAAAGUUUAGAAAGAAACCAGAAGUCAAUUUUUUUCAAAUUUUCAGCAGUGACCUCAGUGUUUGUAUGCCACUAAUGAAUCACUGACCUUCUGCCAAGGCCAUUUCCCAUAGUUACAGCAAGAAUCGUAAAAUAAAGAUCCCAGGUUUCUUGCA
Molecule: long non-coding RNA, 2506 nt
Filed under: Anas platyrhynchos platyrhynchos (common mallard)
Lineage: Eukaryota; Metazoa; Chordata; Aves; Anseriformes; Anatidae
Description: lncRNA (ENSAPLG00000017461.1)
Source: RNAcentral